This 564-nucleotide ribosomal RNA is filed under the name uncultured Glomeromycotina. RNAcentral's name for it is "SSU rRNA". It matches the Rfam family "Eukaryotic small subunit ribosomal RNA", at positions 550 to 1125 of the family's 1831-position model. The record is from RNAcentral. Lineage: Eukaryota; Fungi; Glomeromycota.
UUGGAGGSCAAGUCUGGUGCCAGCAGCCGCGGUAAUUCCAGCUCCAAUAGCGUAUAUUAAAGUUGUUGCAGUUAAAAAGCUCGUAGUUGAAUUUCGGGAUCAGAGUGUCGGUCGUGCCUCGGUACGCACUGGUAUUAUUGGUUCCUACCUUCUGAAGAACCGCGAUGUCAUUAAUUUGGUGUCGUGGGGAAUCAGGACUGUUACUUUGAGGAAAUUAGAGUGUUUAAAGCAGGCUUACGCUUGAAUACAUUAGCAUGGAAUAAUGAAAUAGGACGUUUGAUUCUAUUUUGUUGGUUUCUAGGAUUGACGUAAUGAUUAAUAGGGAUAGUUGGGGGCAUUAGUAUUCAAUUGUCAGAGGUGAAAUUCUUGGAUUUAUUGAAGACUAACUACUGCGAAAGCAUUUGCCAAGGAUGUUUUCAUUAAUCAAGAACGAAAGUUAGGGGAUCGAAGACGAUCAGAUACCGUCGUAGUCUUAACCAUAAACUAUGCCGACUAGGGAUCGGAUGAUGUUAAUUUUUUAAUGACUCAUUCGGCGCCUUACGGGAAACCAAAGUGUUUGGGUUC